GCGCGGGAGGGACACGCAGCCGCCGGCCGAGCAAGUCGAUGAGGAGGCACUGGAGCUCCGGCGCGCGCUGAAACGCUGGUCGACGACGGGCUGUGCGACGUCUUCUGCAGCCGGCCUGGGCAGGUGUCUUCCUCGUGAGGCAGGCAGGGGAUCCCGGACCCUUAUACAGGAUGCUGUGGUCUUUGCUCCUUUGUGAAUGUCUACUGCUGGUAGCUGGUUAUGCUCAGGAUGAUGACUGGAUUGACCCCACAGACAUGCUUAACUAUGACGCUGCUUCAGGAACAAUGAGAAAAUCUCAGGCAAAAUAUGGUAUUUCAGGGGAAAAGGAUGUCAGUCCUGACUUGGCAUAUGCUGAUGAAAUAUCGAAAUGUUAUCACAAACUUGAUUCUUUAACUUAUAAGAUUGAUGAGUGUGAAAAGAAAAAGAGGGAAGACUAUGAAAGUCAAAGCAAUCCUGUUUUUAGGAGAUACUUAAAUAAGAUUUUAAUUGAAGCUGGAAAGCUUGGACUUCCUGAUGAAAACAAAGGCGAUGUGCAUUAUGAUGCGGAGAUUAUCCUUAAAAGAGAAACUUUGUUAGAAAUACAGAAGUUUCUCAAUGGAGAAGACUGGAAACCAGGUGCCUUGGAUGAUGCACUAAGUGAUAUUUUAAUUAAUUUUAAGCUUCAUGAUUUUGAAACAUGGAAGUGGCGAUUUGAAGAUUACUUUGGAGUGGAUCCAUAUAAUGUGUUAAUGGUACUUCUAUGUCUGCUCUGCAUCGUGGUUUUAGUGGCUACCGAGCUGUGGACGUAUGUACGUUGGUACACUCAAUUGAGGCGUGUUUUAAUCAUCAGCUUUCUGUUCAGUUUGGGAUGGAAUUGGAUAUAUUUAUAUAAGCUAGCUUUUGCACAGCAUCAGGCCGAAGUCGCCAAGAUGGAGCCAUUUAACAAUGUGUGUGCCGAGAAGAUGGACUGGACUGGAAGUAUCUGGGAAUGGUUGAGAAUUUCAUGGACCUAUAAGGAUGACCCAUGCCAAAAAUACUAUGAGCUCUUACUAGUCAACCCCAUUUGGUUGGUUCCACCAACAAAGGCACUUGCUGUGACAUUCACCACAUUUGUAACGGAGCCACUGAAGCACAUUGGAAAAGGAACUGGGGAAUUUAUUAAAGCACUCAUGAAGGAAAUUCCAACACUGCUUCAUCUUCCAGUGCUGAUGAUUAUGGCAUUAGCUGUCCUGAGUUUCUGCUAUGGUGCUGGAAAAUCAGUUCCUGUGCUGAGACAUAUAGGUGGUCCUGAGAAAGAACCUCCCCUGGCACGUCAGCUACGGGAUAGAAGACGGCAGAAGGAAAUUGAUUACAGACUCGAUGGUGGAGCAGGUGAUGCAGCUUUCCAUUAUAGAGGACAAACUGGCCCCAUUGAGCAAGGCCCUUAUGCCAAAACAUAUGAGAGUAGAAGAGAGAUUUUGAGAGAGAGAGAUGUUGACUUGAAAUUUCAGACUGGCAACAGGAGCCCUGAAGUGCUUCGGGCAUUUGAUUUACCAGACGCAGAGGCACAAGAGCAUCCCACGGUGGUACCCACUCAUAAAUCACCUGUUUUGGAUACAAAGCCCACGGAGACUGGUGGAAUUCCUGGGGAAGGCACACUGAAAGAAAGCAGUACUGAAAGCAGCCAGUCUGCUAAGCCUGUCUCUGGCCAAGACACAUCAGGGAAUACAGAAGGUCCACCUGCAGCAGAAAAGGCCCAGCUCACGUCGGAAGCCAAGGACAGCCCAGACCAAGGCAGCACAUGCAGCCCAGCAAGAAGUAUGGCUGGACCACAUGGACAGGAUCCAGUCAGCAGCCCCUGUGGCUAGAGGAACAACAGCACAAGCGACACCUCUCAAGUCUUCUUCGAGCUUUAUAUCCAUCUGGGGACGAAACCUACUUUGACACCUAGCAAGGCACCAUGCAGCUGCUAUUGAAUGAAGACAGCAAUUCAGGAAAGACUUAAAUAUGAAAGCAAACUGAACACAUAAGGCCAGUUUAUUACCAGAAAAGACUUACUCUGUUAUCCUCCCCUUCUGAACUGCCUUAAGUAUCUGGGAUAAGGAAGACAAGGCUUAAUGACCACUAAAGUUCUAGCUGACAUCUUUCAUACUGAAUUUCUGUAAAGUAAUCUAACAAGCUGCCAAAGAACACAUCCCAAGUAAUAAUCACAGAUGAUGAAGCACCUUACAGGACACCUCCACCUUGAAACACAACUGAACCCUGGGCACUACAAACUUAGAGGACAGAAAGAUGAAGAGGAGAAAAGAGAAUAAAGACAAGAGUGGCUGACGAGAAAAGUAUAGAAAUCCUGGAGGCUGAAUGAAGAAGGUACUCUCAGAAGGGAAUGAUUGGCUAUAGGAAACAUUGCUGAGAAAAAUCGAGUGAGCUGACAUUGAUGUAUUUGGUAAAAUGGAGGUUUGUGGUAACCUUGAAAGGUGGUUUCAGAGUCACAGAGAAGGCAAAGCCCAACGGGAGUGGGUUGAAGAGAGAAUGGGAGGCAAGGAAGUAAAAACAAUGAACAAUUAGUAUAUUUCCAGGUUUUGUUAUAGAAAAGAACAAAGGAACAGGUCUAUAGCUAGAAUGGUCCAUGAAGCAAGCGACUGUUUUUGCUUUUUAAAGAUGAGAGCUCUUAUGGAAUAACCUAUAUGAAAGUUCAACACAGAAAAACUUUUUGGCCCAUAAUUUAACCACAAAGCAUGCAGUCACAAAUUAUUAUAUGGCUCACACUUCAGAA
This is an RNA transcript of Callithrix jacchus (white-tufted-ear marmoset), 2734 nucleotides long. It is a transcript of the gene named chloride channel CLIC like 1, with no coding region annotated. The record is from RefSeq and is a predicted model, not a curated record. Lineage: Eukaryota; Metazoa; Chordata; Mammalia; Primates; Cebidae.